RNAcentral lists this ribosomal RNA (538 nucleotides) under uncultured fungus. RNAcentral describes it as "eukaryotic LSU rRNA". The stretch from base 186 to 339 matches the Rfam family "5.8S ribosomal RNA". The record is from RNAcentral. Lineage: Eukaryota; Fungi.
CGUAACAAGGUUUCCGUAGGUGAACCUGCGGAAGGAUCAUUACCUAGAGUUUGUAGACUUCGGUCUGCUACCUCUUACCCAUGUCUUUUGAGUACCUUCGUUUCCUCGGCGGGUCCGCCCGCCGAUUGGACAACAUUCAAACCCUUUGCAGUUGCAAUCAGCGUCUGAAAAAACAUAAUAGUUACAACUUUCAACAACGGAUCUCUUGGUUCUGGCAUCGAUGAAGAACGCAGCGAAAUGCGAUAAGUAGUGUGAAUUGCAGAAUUCAGUGAAUCAUCGAAUCUUUGAACGCACAUUGCGCCCCUUGGUAUUCCAUGGGGCAUGCCUGUUCGAGCGUCAUUUGUACCUUCAAGCUCUGCUUGGUGUUGGGUGUUUGUCUCGCCUCUGCGUGUAGACUCGCCUUAAAACAAUUGGCAGCCGGCGUAUUGAUUUCGGAGCGCAGUACAUCUCGCGCUUUGCACUCAUAACGACGACGUCCAAAAGUACAUUUUUACACUCUUGACCUCGGAUCAGGUAGGGAUACCCGCUGAACUUAAGC